AUGGCGCUCAACUACAUGGGCGCCGCGGCCAUCAACGCGGUGGCGGCCCUGCUGUCCAUCCCGGUGAUCGCGGCCGGCAUCUGGCUCUCCACGCAGGCCGACAACGCCUGCGUCCAGAUCCUCCAGUGGCCACUCGUCGGCCUCGGCGUCGCCGUCCUCGCCGUCGGCCUCGCGGGCUUCAUCGGCGCCUUCUGGCGCCUGCCCUGGCUCCUCCUCGCCUACAUGGUCCUCAUGCUCCUCCUCGUCGCCGCGCUCGCCUGCCUCGCCGUCUUCGUCUUCGUCGCCACCACCGGCACCUCCGGCCGCCCCGUGCCCAGCCGCGCCUUUCUAGAGUACGACCUGGCCGACUACUCCGGCUGGCUGCGCCGCCGCGUCGCCGACGAGCCGGGGAGGUGGGACGAGAUCAAGACGUGCCUGGCCGCCACCGCGCCCGUCUGCUCCGAGCUCAACCAGACGUACGCCGCGCCGCAGGACUUCUUCGCCGCCUGGCUCUCCCCGAUGCAGUCCGGCUGCUGCAAGCCGCCGACGAGGUGCGGCUACACCUUCGUCAGCGCGACCAACUGGAUCAGCCCGAUCGACGGCGCCGCCGACCCCGACUGCGCUGCCUGGAGCAACGACCAGGACCGGCUCUGCUACUCCUGCGACUCCUGCAAGGCCGGCCUACUGCAGAAUCUCCGCCGGGAGUGGCGCCGCGCGGACGUCGUCCUCGCCGUCACCGUCGUUGCCCUCCUUGCAGUCUACGCCAUGGGCUGCUACGCGUUCCGCACCGCCAGGACGGACGAGCUCUUCCGCCGCUACCGGCAGGGCUACACGUGA
This 816-nucleotide ribosomal RNA is filed under the name Triticum aestivum (bread wheat). RNAcentral's name for it is "partial small subunit ribosomal RNA". The record is from RNAcentral. Lineage: Eukaryota; Viridiplantae; Streptophyta; Magnoliopsida; Poales; Poaceae.